GGGUGCUUAUAGUUCUUGAAUUUGUAUAGUAGGUCUUCUAGUUCUCACUGGAAGACACUC
Molecule: small nuclear RNA, 60 nt
Filed under: Myotis davidii
Lineage: Eukaryota; Metazoa; Chordata; Mammalia; Chiroptera; Vespertilionidae
Description: U7 small nuclear RNA
Rfam family: U7 small nuclear RNA
About the family: Animal histone pre-mRNAs are spliced by a different mechanism than nuclear pre-mRNAs and self-splicing introns. This processing involves the U7 snRNP, which contains only one RNA species: U7.
Source: Rfam by way of RNAcentral